Molecule: ribosomal RNA, 685 nt
Filed under: uncultured bacterium
Lineage: Bacteria
Description: bacterial SSU rRNA
Rfam family: Bacterial small subunit ribosomal RNA
Source: RNAcentral
AACGCUAGCUACAGGCUUAACACAUGCAAGUCGAGGGGUAGCAGGGUAGCAAUACCGCUGACGACCGGCGCACGGGUGAGUAACACGUAUCCAACCUACCAUCCACACGGGGAUAGCCUUUCGAAAGAGAGAUUAAUACCCGAUAGUAUAACGAUAAGGCAUCUUAUUGUUAUUAAAGAAUUUCGGUGUUUGAUGGGGAUGCGUUCCAUUAGAUUGUUGGUGAGGUAACGGCUCACCAAGUCUUCGAUGGAUAGGGGUUCUGAGAGGAAGGUCCCCCACAUUGGAACUGAGACACGGUCCAAACUCCUACGGGAGGCAGCAGUGAGGAAUAUUGGUCAAUGGACGAGAGUCUGAACCAGCCAAGUAGCGUGAAGGAUGAAGGCCCUAUGGGUCGUAAACUUCUUUUAUAGGGGAAUAAAGUGCGGAACGUGUUCCGCUUUGUAUGUACCCUACGAAUAAGGAUCGGCUAACUCCGUGCCAGCAGCCGCGGUAAUACGGAGGAUCCGAGCGUUAUCCGGAUUUAUUGGGUUUAAAGGGAGCGUAGGUGGAUAUAUAAGUCAGUUGUGAAAGUUUGCGGCUCAACCGUAAAAUUGCAGUUGAUACUGUAUAUCUUGAGUGUACAAGAGGUGGGCGGAAUUCGUGGUGUAGCGGUGAAAUGCUUAGAUAUCACGAAGAACUCCGAUUG